CAUGAAACCAAAUUAAUUGAGAGAGAUAGAAGUAUCAUAACGUAGUCGAUGCUCCACAACUCUUUCCCACAACUCUCUCCCAUGCUGAAAUAAAAUUCUGGACCUUAGUUUUUGUUCAUUUUCUUUAUGGUAUGAUGUCAUAAUUAAACCAUGACCUUGCUGUUUGCCAUGGUAACUGGUGAGGCAACUUAUUUAAUCUUUGUUUUGUCCGUACUAUGGUUCAUUUUUUGUCUCAAUUGUAUUGUUCUAUUAUACCUUUUCAUUUUAUGCUCCUUACUAUGACCUUAAUUUACUGUUUCAGAUCAUCUUCUUGUAUUAUUUUUGUUUUCCCUUUUAUUUUCUUUAUUAGGCUGAGAUAAUCAUAGUUAUUAAAAGCGCGUCUCAGGCUCAAGGCUCACCAGGCU
This 404-nucleotide unclassified non-coding RNA is filed under the name Hevea brasiliensis (rubber tree). Lineage: Eukaryota; Viridiplantae; Streptophyta; Magnoliopsida; Malpighiales; Euphorbiaceae. The record is from RNAcentral.